AGAUUUUGCGGAAAACAGGAAUUUAAAAUCAUACUUUCGUAAAAUGGCAACGCAUGUGGCAUAGGUAUAACUGCCACAGGCAGCUGAGGGUCGGUGGGUGGCUCGAACAAAAUUGACACCCAGGGUGAAUCACAGAUCUGUGGCCGUAACUGAAGUAGGCUAUGGUUUAUUCAGAUUUUGGAUGUGUUUUAAUUGAGUGGUAGAAAAAUUGGUUUCUUGUACAUCUUCGAUAUUCACGCUGCCAUUUCAAACUUUUUCAAGGAACCUACGAGGCCAUGAUGAGACGGUGUACGAUGUGCUGUCGUUGACAAGCAGAGAGAUUUCCAUCCUCAAAAAAAUAGAGAAACACCAGCAUUCAGUUGUUAGACAUUUGACGACAUCCGUGAUAGAUCACGAGCAACCGUUGUUCCCCCGUUUGAGCACGCGGAUUAGGAUCUCACCUUGACCUGGAAAAUGCACAUCACCUGGAUUCCAGCUGAGCCCAGAACGCUUCAAGUUCCCGUUGAUGCGCCAUCUCACCCACGAAAACACGAUGGAAGUCCCGUUUUUUUACUCGUCUUAACACACUCGACACGAUAAAAAGAAACGAUUAUGUCUUUUAGUUU
Daphnia pulex (common water flea) is the source of this 605-nucleotide long non-coding RNA. RefSeq lists it as uncharacterized. The transcript is spliced from 4 exons. NCBI's taxonomy places the organism in Eukaryota, Metazoa, Arthropoda, Branchiopoda, Diplostraca, Daphniidae. The record is from RefSeq and is a predicted model, not a curated record.